GGAGAGUUGACAGAGCGGUCGAAUGUACCGGUCUUGAAAACCGGAGGGCCCUCACGGGUCCCGGGGGUUCGAAUCCUCCACUCUCCG
RNAcentral lists this transfer RNA (87 nucleotides) under Patescibacteria group bacterium. RNAcentral describes it as "tRNA-Ser". It matches the Rfam family "tRNA". From Rfam's summary of the family: Transfer RNA (tRNA) molecules are approximately 80 nucleotides in length. RNAcentral also lists the same sequence under 1 other name. The record is from RNAcentral.